AGAAAUCUGGCAGAGAAACACAAGAUCCACAGCGGUAGUAUGAACAAAGCGCGAGUUCUCGCAACUUCCAAGCUCAACACCGCACAAAAACCCAAACAAAACAACAAAACAAAAAAGAAACAAAACGAAACUGAAAGAAAGAAAAACAAAACAAAAACGGUUGGGUUACCUCCCAACAAGUGCUAAAAUUAACGUCUAUAGCUUGACGGUACUUCAAACUCAUGGGUCAUUGAAUUCGACAACUUCAAGACCACGAUCCACGUUUGACUUGAAGUAUGGUUUGAGACGAUGACCAUUAACAGUGAAGGUAGUGCCAUCAGCGGCAAACAACUCAUACGUCCC
Molecule: long non-coding RNA, 342 nt
Filed under: Salvia miltiorrhiza (redroot sage)
Lineage: Eukaryota; Viridiplantae; Streptophyta; Magnoliopsida; Lamiales; Lamiaceae
Description: long non-coding RNA (SMIL_LNC009134)
Source: RNAcentral